RNAcentral lists this ribosomal RNA (198 nucleotides) under uncultured prokaryote. RNAcentral describes it as "partial 16S ribosomal RNA". It matches the Rfam family "Bacterial small subunit ribosomal RNA", at positions 524 to 721 of the family's 1533-position model. The record is from RNAcentral.
UACGUAGGAGGCAAGCGUUGUCCGGAGUUACUGGGCGUAAAGCGCACGCAGGCGGUCGGUCAAGUUCUGGGUGACAGUCCUCAGCCUAACUGAGGAAGUGCCUGGAAAACUGAUGGACUUGAGGGCUUCAGAGGGACACGGAAUUCCGGGUGGAGUGGUGAAAUGCGUAGAGAUCCGGAGGAACACCAAAGGCGUAGG